ACGGACGCUUGCGGCGUGCUUAACCCAUGCAAGUCGCACGGAAAGGCCCUGCUUUUGUGGGGUGCUCGAGUGGCGAACGGGUGAGUAACACGUGAGUAACCUGCCCUUGACUUUGGGAUAACUUCAGGAAACUGGGGCUAAUACCGGAUAGGAGCUCCUGCUGCAUGGUGGGGGUUGGAAAGUUUCGGCGGUUGGGGAUGGACUCGCGGCUUAUCAGCUUGUUGGUGGGGUAGUGGCUUACCAAGGCUUUGACGGGUAGCCGGCCUGAGAGGGUGACCGGCCACAUUGGGACUGCGAUACGGCCCAGACUCCUACGGGAGGCAGGAGUGAGGAAUAUUGCACAAUGGGCGGAAGCCUGAUGCAGCAACGCCGCGUGCGGGAUGACGGCCUUCGGGUUGUAAACCGCUUUCGCCUGUGACGAAGCGUGAGUGACGGUAAUGGGUAAAGAAGCACCGGCUAACUACGUG
RNAcentral lists this ribosomal RNA (467 nucleotides) under uncultured bacterium. RNAcentral describes it as "partial 16S ribosomal RNA". It matches the Rfam family "Bacterial small subunit ribosomal RNA", at positions 29 to 507 of the family's 1533-position model. The record is from RNAcentral.